Molecule: ribosomal RNA, 460 nt
Filed under: uncultured bacterium
Lineage: Bacteria
Description: partial 16S ribosomal RNA
Rfam family: Bacterial small subunit ribosomal RNA
Source: RNAcentral
CCUACGGGGGGCAGCAGUGAGGAAUAUUGGUCAAUGGACGAGAGUCUGAACCAGCCAAGUAGCGUGAAGGAUGACUGCCCUAUGGGUUGUAAACUUCUUUUAUAAAGGAAUAAAACGAGGCACGUGUGCCUUUUUGCAUGUACUUUAUGAAUAAGGAUCGGCUAACUCCGUGCCAGCAGCCGCGGUAAUACGGAGGAUCCGAGCGUUAUCCGGAUUUAUUGGGUUUAAAGGGAGCGUAGAUGGUUUGUUAAGUCAGUGGUGAAAGUUUGCGGCUCAACCGUAAAAUUGCAAUUGAUACUGGCAGUCGUGAGUACAGUUGAGGUAGGCGGAAUUCGUGGUGUAGCGGUGAAAUGCUUAGAUAUCACGAAGAACCCCGAUUGCGAAGGCAGCUUACUAAACUGUGACUGACAUUGAUGCUCGAAAGUGUGGGUAUCAAACAGGAUUAGAUACCCCUGUAGUC